CACGGAGUUAGCCGGGGCUUCUUCUGCUGGUACAGUCAUUAUCUUCCCAGCUGAAAGAUCUUUACAACCCUAAGGCCUUCAUCGAUCACGCGGCAUGGCUAGAUCAGGCUUGCGCCCAUUGUCUAAGAUUCCCCACUGCUGCCUCCCGUAGGAGUCUGGGCCGUGUCUCAGUCCCAGUGUGGCUGAUCAUCCUCUCAAACCAGCUAUGGAUCGUCGGCUUGGUGAGCCGUUACCUCACCAACUACCUAAUCCAACGCGGGCCGAUCUCUUGCCGAUAAAACUCUUUCCCCCGUAGGGCACAUACGGUAUUACUCCCAGUUUCCCGAGGCUAUUCCGUAGCAAGAGGCACGUUCCCACGCGUUACUCACCCGUCCGCCGCUAGGUCCGAAGACCUCGCUCGACUUGCAUGUGUUAGGCCUGCCGCCAGCGUUCGUUCUGAGCCAGGAUCAAACUC
Molecule: ribosomal RNA, 454 nt
Filed under: uncultured Paracoccaceae bacterium
Lineage: Bacteria; Pseudomonadati; Pseudomonadota; Alphaproteobacteria; Rhodobacterales; Paracoccaceae
Description: uncultured Rhodobacteraceae bacterium partial 16S ribosomal RNA
Source: RNAcentral